Molecule: ribosomal RNA, 253 nt
Filed under: uncultured bacterium
Lineage: Bacteria
Description: partial 16S ribosomal RNA
Rfam family: Bacterial small subunit ribosomal RNA
Source: RNAcentral
GACGAACCGUGCGAACGUUGUUCGGAUUCACUGGGCGUAAAGGGUGCGUAGGUGGCUAGGUAAGUUCGAUGUGAAAUCUCCGGGCUUAACCCGGAAAGUGCAUUGAAUACUAUCUAGCUUGAGGGUUGGAGGGGGGACUGGAAUUCUCGGUGUAGCAGUGAAAUGCGUAGAUAUCUGGAGGAACACCGGUGGCGAAGGCGGCGUCCUGGACCAAUACUGACACUGAGGAGCGAAAGCCAGGGGAGCAAACGGG